UCUUCUCUCUUUCUCCCGCGGCUCCCGUUGGCUGGUGCUGGCCUGAACCUGAGGAAUGCCUUUGCUCUUUGCAAUUCCCACAUUCAAAACAGAGUCUCACAACUCAGCCACUAGGAACAAACACCAAGAUACCUGGAGCCACAGAAGCACUCAUACAUGAGCCAAGAAGAAAAAAAUUGUGUGGCAGCUUCCCAGCUCUGCUCUGCAAACAUGCACUUCCUGUUUACUGACUAAGACCUGAUGAACCCAUACUGAGACUGCCCAGGCCACAUUAGAGUCACCACAGGCCCUGCUAGAUGACUAUUUUGAUAUGGAGGGGAAAGAAUUACUCCCCUCAGCCCUUGGGGAUAAAUUUAGGACCAUCACUGGCCAGCGUUAUGCCCUUGCUCAAGGAUUUGGAACUGGGAACCAAAAAGAAAAGUGCACCUGACUUGGAAAUGUACACACAAGCAGCCUCUCAACAGCGGGAUGUUUAUAGUGAAGGAUGCAUCACCAAAGAGAGUUGUCAUUCAUUGGGAUGGCCUGGCCAAAAUAAACCGUCCUGAAUGGAA
Cebus imitator (Panamanian white-faced capuchin) is the source of this 551-nucleotide long non-coding RNA. RefSeq lists it as uncharacterized. The transcript is spliced from 2 exons. NCBI's taxonomy places the organism in Eukaryota, Metazoa, Chordata, Mammalia, Primates, Cebidae. The record is from RefSeq and is a predicted model, not a curated record.